GACGAACGCUGGCGGCGUGCUUAACACAUGCAAGUCGAACGGACAGGCCCGGAUUUUGUUGCUUGCUCGAUUGGCGAACACGUGUGUGUCACGCGAGUAACCUCCACUUAUCUUUGUGAUAACUCCACGAAACUCGGGCUCAUACCCGAUAGAAUAUCCUGCAGCGUGUUGUUCAUUGGUGAGUGUCGGCGGUGGUGGAUCGUCUCGCGGCGUAUCAGCUAGUUGGUCUGGUAGCGGCUUACCCAGGCUAUGAUGGGUACCCGACCUGAGAGGGUGGUCGGCCACACUGGAACUGAGACACGGUCCAGGCGCCUACGGGAGGCAGCAGUAGGGAAUCUUCCGCAAUGGGCGAAAGCCUGACGGAGCAAGGCCGCGUGAGUGAUGAAGGUCUUCGGAUCGUAAAACUCUGUUAUUAGGGAAGAACAAAUGUGUAAGUAACUAUGCACGUCUUGACGGUACCUAAUCAGAAAGCCACGGCUAACUACGUG
RNAcentral lists this ribosomal RNA (488 nucleotides) under uncultured bacterium. RNAcentral describes it as "partial 16S ribosomal RNA". It matches the Rfam family "Bacterial small subunit ribosomal RNA", at positions 28 to 507 of the family's 1533-position model. The record is from RNAcentral.